RNAcentral lists this ribosomal RNA (465 nucleotides) under uncultured Klebsiella sp. Its description in RNAcentral is "bacterial SSU rRNA". It matches the Rfam family "Bacterial small subunit ribosomal RNA", at positions 338 to 795 of the family's 1533-position model. The record is from RNAcentral. Lineage: Bacteria; Pseudomonadati; Pseudomonadota; Gammaproteobacteria; Enterobacterales; Enterobacteriaceae.
CCUACGGGCGGCUGCAGUGGGGAAUAUUGCACAAUGGGCGCAAGCCUGAUGCAGCCAUGCCGCGUGUGUGAAGAAGGCCUUCGGGUUGUAAAGCACUUUCAGCGGGGAGGAAGGCGGUGAGGUUAAUAACCUCAUCGAUUGACGUUACCCGCAGAAGAAGCACCGGCUAACUCCGUGCCAGCAGCCGCGGUAAUACGGAGGGUGCAAGCGUUGAUCGGAAUUACUGGGCGUAAAGCGCACGCAGGCGGUCUGUCAAGUCGGAUGUGAAAUCCCCGGGCUCAACCUGGGAACUGCAUUCGAAACUGGCAGGCUAGAGUCUUGUAGAGGGGGGUAGAAUUCCAGGUGUAGCGGUGAAAUGCGUAGAGAUCUGGAGGAAUACCGGUGGCGAAGGCGGCCCCCUGGACAAAGACUGACGCUCAGGUGCGAAAGCGUGGGGAGCAAACAGGAUUAGAUACCCUUGUAGUC